UACGGAGGGUCCGAGCGUUAAUCGGAAUCACUGGGCGUAAAGGGAGCGUAGGCGGCGCGGUAAGUCAGAUGUGAAAUCUCAGAGCUCAACUCUGAAACUGCAUCCGAUACUGCCGUGCUAGAGUAAUGGAGGGGUAAGUGGAAUUCUCGGUGUAGCAGUGAAAUGCGUAGAUAUCGAGAGGAAGACCAACGGCGAAGGCAGCUUACUGGACAUUUACUGACGCUGAGGCUCGAAGGCUAGGGUAGCGAAA
This 250-nucleotide ribosomal RNA is filed under the name uncultured bacterium. Its description in RNAcentral is "partial 16S ribosomal RNA". It matches the Rfam family "Bacterial small subunit ribosomal RNA", at positions 524 to 773 of the family's 1533-position model. The record is from RNAcentral.